Molecule: long non-coding RNA, 584 nt
Organism: Gallus gallus (chicken)
Lineage: Eukaryota; Metazoa; Chordata; Aves; Galliformes; Phasianidae
Source: Ensembl
AUUUGUUUCACAUUUAUGGCAUGCAGUGGAGCAAUGGGAAGAGGAAAUAAUCCUUCAGCCCACCUUCCUGGUUCCUCACGUGUCAGCACUGUGAAGAUGCACUCAAGUGGUUCUGGAAAACCAAAAGCUCUGGACCUACCCCUCCUGCAGCUCCACAGCUGGAUGAUGGCUCUUGAGAGACUUUAGAGGAAUUUGCCAUUUGGAAAAAGGAAAAAAGAAGAACGUUUAAUUAGAGAUGGAGCUAAAGCAGAUAAUUUGAUCUUCCAAUGGAAAACAGAAUUACAGGUUAAAAAUGAAGAUUAUACACUCUGGGUGAAGAAUGCUCCCUCAUUUCAGGAGCACAAGUGGAAGGAAAGGAAAGGAAGAACGAGGACUGGCCCUUGGCCCUUUGAUCAGUGAUGAAGUCGCUUGCCUCCAGCGGUGAACGUGGUCCAUCCACCACUGAUGAAAUCAGAUGGACAUGGAGUCCUGGCCUGAAGCAGAGCCUGUUGUGCUCCCGGGUUCCUCUCUCUGCACAUUCACCUCUGGGGCGAGCCCAGGACAUUGCCAGGGGUCAGCUGGGGGGGAGCCAAGUGUUUGGCCGG